This is a transfer RNA of Entamoeba invadens IP1, 73 nucleotides long. It matches the Rfam family "tRNA". From Rfam's summary of the family: Transfer RNA (tRNA) molecules are approximately 80 nucleotides in length. Their secondary structure includes four short double-helical elements and three loops (D, anti-codon, and T loops). Further hydrogen bonds mediate the characteristic L-shaped molecular structure. tRNAs have two regions of fundamental functional importance: the anti-codon, which is responsible for specific mRNA codon recognition, and the 3' end, to which the tRNAs corresponding amino acid is attached (by aminoacyl-tRNA synthetases). tRNAs cope with the degeneracy of the genetic code in two manners: having more than one tRNA (with a specific anti-codon) for a particular amino acid; and 'wobble' base-pairing, i.e. permitting non-standard base-pairing at the 3rd anti-codon position. Lineage: Eukaryota; Evosea; Mastigamoebida; Endamoebidae. The record is from Rfam.
GGGGAUGUAGCUCAUUUGGUAGAGCUUUCGCUUCGCAUGCGAAGGGCAAGGGGAUCGAUACCCCUCAUCUCCA